GAAUCCUUUCCCCCAGGGUUUGAGAAGAAGAAUGUGACGGUGGAUUUGCCACCAGUUUCGUCAUCAAAAGAUUUCACCGUGGAGCUUUCUACUGAAGUUUUGCAAGUGGAGGAAGAAUCUUUUGGCUGUGAUCCUGAUUACCCCCCAGGGUUCGAGGAGAAGAAUAUGACAGCAGAUAUUCCUUCAGUUUCGUCAUCAAAAGAUUGCACCGCGGAGCUCUCUACUGAAGUUUUGCAAGUGGAG
RNAcentral lists this unclassified non-coding RNA (243 nucleotides) under Hevea brasiliensis (rubber tree). Lineage: Eukaryota; Viridiplantae; Streptophyta; Magnoliopsida; Malpighiales; Euphorbiaceae. The record is from RNAcentral.